UACGUAGGGUGCGAGCGUUGUCCGGAAUUAUUGGGCGUAAAGGGCGUGUAGGCGGCUUCGCAGGUCGGUGGUGAAAGCAUACAGCUCAACUGUAUUGAGCCACGGAAACGGCGGAGCUUGAGGCUGGGAGGGGCUGGUGGAAUUCCCUGUGUAGCGGUGAAAUGCGUAGAGAUGGGGGAGAACACUCGUGGCGAAGGCGGCCAGCUGGACCAGUUCUGACGCUGAGACGCGAAAGCGUGGGGAGCAAACAGG
Molecule: ribosomal RNA, 252 nt
Filed under: uncultured bacterium
Lineage: Bacteria
Description: partial 16S ribosomal RNA
Rfam family: Bacterial small subunit ribosomal RNA
Source: RNAcentral